RNAcentral lists this ribosomal RNA (429 nucleotides) under Pseudomonadota bacterium. Its description in RNAcentral is "Proteobacteria bacterium partial 16S ribosomal RNA". It matches the Rfam family "Bacterial small subunit ribosomal RNA", at positions 355 to 776 of the family's 1533-position model. Lineage: Bacteria; Pseudomonadati; Pseudomonadota. The record is from RNAcentral.
UGGGGAAUAUUGGACAAUGGGCGAAAGCCUGAUCCAGCCAUGCCGCGUGUGUGAAGAAGGUCUUCGGAUUGUAAAGCACUUUAAGUUGGGAGGAAGGGCAGUAAGCGAAUACCUUGCUGUUUUGACGUUACCGACAGAAUAAGCACCGGCUAACUCUGUGCCAGCAGCCGCGGUAAUACAGAGGGUGCAAGCGUUAAUCGGAAUUACUGGGCGUAAAGCGCGCGUAGGUGGUUCGUUAAGUUGAAUGUGAAAGCCCCGGGCUCAACCUGGGAACUGCAUCCAAAACUGGCGAGCGAGAGUAGGGCAGAGGGUGGUGGAAUUUCCUGUGUAGCGGUGAAAUGCGUAGAUAUAGGAAGGAACACCAGUGGCGAAUGCGACCACCUGAGCUCAUACUGACACUGAGGUGCGAAAGCGUGGGGAGCAAACAGG